GACGAACGCUGGCGGCGUGCUUAACACAUGCAAGUCGAACGGAGAGGCCCUGCUUUUGUGGGGUGCACGAGUGGCGAACGGGUGAGUAACACGUGAGUAACCUGCCUUUGACUUUGGGAUAACUUCAGGAAACUAGGGCUAAUACCGGAUAGGAGCACCUGCUGCAUGGUGGGGGUUGGAAAGUUUCGGCGGCUGGGCAUGGACACGCGGCUUCUUAGCUUGUUGGUGGGGUAGUGGCUUACCAAGGCUUUGACGGGUAGCCGGCCUGAGAGGGUGACCGGCCACAUUGGGACUGGAAUACGGCCCAGACUCCUACGGGAGGCAGCAGUGGGGAAUAUUGCACAAUGGGCGGAAUCCUGAUGCAGCACCGCCGCGUGCGGAAUGACGGCCUUCGGGUUGUAAACCGCUUUCGCCUGUGACGAAGCGUGAGUGACGGUAAUGGGUAAAGAAGCACCGGCUAACUACGUG
This 468-nucleotide ribosomal RNA is filed under the name uncultured bacterium. Its description in RNAcentral is "partial 16S ribosomal RNA". It matches the Rfam family "Bacterial small subunit ribosomal RNA", at positions 28 to 507 of the family's 1533-position model. The record is from RNAcentral.